RNAcentral lists this unclassified non-coding RNA (380 nucleotides) under soil metagenome. RNAcentral's name for it is "partial contains 5.8S ribosomal RNA, internal transcribed spacer 2, and large subunit ribosomal RNA". The stretch from base 1 to 120 matches the Rfam family "5.8S ribosomal RNA", at positions 35 to 154 of the family's 154-position model. The record is from RNAcentral.
GAUGAAGAACGUAGCGAAAUGCGAUAAGUAAUGUGAAUUGCAGAAUUCAGUGAAUCAUCGAAUCUUUGAACGCACCUUGCACCCUUUGGCAUUCUGAAGGGUAUGCUCGUUUGAGUGUCAUUGUACUCUCACACUCCCGAUCUUUGCAUUGGGAGCAGUGGACUUGGGUUUGCUGCUUCACCGUCGCUUACCUCAAAUAGGUUAGUGCAACUCUUGGUUGGACAUAGUACGGCGUGAUAAGUGUUCUUCGCCGGUGCCUCGCAAAGAGGGUGGCCGAUCGGGAUGUUGUGCUCCAAACCGUCUUCGGACAAUCUCUGACGACUUGACCUUAAAUCGAGUAAGACUACCCGCUGAACUUAAGCAUAUCAAUAAGCGGAGGA